AUGGUGGAAGGCUCGAAGACUGGCAUCUCGAAUCUGAAGUUCCUCCUCCUCUGCUUCCAACAAAUGUCUGGCCUCAAGAUCAACUUCGAAAAGAGUGAUGUGAUGGUGAUGGGCUACUCCCAGGACGAAUGCCUGGGCAUUGCCAACCGGCUUAACUGCCGCUUGGGCACCUUCCACACGACCUACCUGGGGACUCCCAUUAGUGACUCUAGGCUCACCGUGGCUGACUUGUGCCCGACCGUGGCAAAGUUGUAGACGCGUAUUGAACCCUGGAAGGGGAGAUGGCUGUCUAAGGCGGCCCGGACGAUUCUCAUAAACUCAUCCUUGCACGGUCUCCUCUUAUUCCUCAUGAGCUUCUAUAGCCUACACGAAACCCUACAUCAUGAGAUCGCCAAAGUUCAAUCUCGUUUCUACUGGGCGGGCGACAACGAUAGAUAGAAAUACCAUAUGGUCAGCUGGCCGAACAUAUGCAAGCCUCGGGAGCACGGGGGCCUUGGGAUCAUGUGCUCUAAGCGCAUGAACAUCGCCCUACUACCUCGCUGGCUUUGGUGGAUCUCUCAAGGGUAAGGUGUGGCAUCUAUUUAG
Molecule: ribosomal RNA, 585 nt
Filed under: Triticum aestivum (bread wheat)
Lineage: Eukaryota; Viridiplantae; Streptophyta; Magnoliopsida; Poales; Poaceae
Description: partial small subunit ribosomal RNA
Source: RNAcentral